ACGACUUUACUUGAAUAGGAUCUGUUCUAUAGGCUCGUACCUCUGUGUCCUUGAGACCUAAGGAGACAGGAACCAAAGUCUGGUGGAUGAACCAAGGCUUUGUGACCAGAGCAUGAUUAACGGCUCUAUUGGGUUCUGCUUAGAUCCAUCAGAGCUAGCCGGAGUUUCUAGCUGGGAUGGUCACACGGCUAUCUAACAUACU
Small nucleolar RNA from Syzygium oleosum, 202 nucleotides. RefSeq annotates it as small nucleolar RNA U3. Lineage: Eukaryota; Viridiplantae; Streptophyta; Magnoliopsida; Myrtales; Myrtaceae. The transcript has a single exon. The record is from RefSeq and is a predicted model, not a curated record.